AUUGCUUUACCUUCUGAAUAACAGCUCAGCUCAAAAAUGGCGGCGUUCGUACAGCCACUACUCGCUCCACCACGCAUUAGACUCGUUACAAGUGUCGCCGAAACUCGCUCUACUCCUCGCUGGCGACAGUAAUUGGUUUUGAUUAUGAUCAUUUGAAUUGGAAUCACCAUUUUUUUCCUUUCUGAUUUUUUUAUGAUCAUCUGUACGGAGAAUCAUUCCUUUUGUAAUUCAUUCAAAAAAUAACUUCUUGUUUUUUUUAAAUCUCACUUUCAUAAUUUGUGAUAAGUUGAUAACAAAAUACAUCAAAAGCAAUGGUUGGUUCGGAACUAAACAGGUAAAAUAAUAUUAUUAUUUCUUGAGAUUAAACAAAUAUAAAAUUUUUACUCGGAUCAUUAAAUUCUAUGAUGUUGUAUAAUAUCCAGGUCCGAAUUUUAGUUCGGGAUCAAUUUGGAUAUUUAUAAAAAUAAUUACAAAUUAAUUUUAAAUUAAAUUAAUUUUAUUUUAUUAAAUUAUUUGAAAAAAAUAAGUUAGGACGUAAUUGAAAGCAAUUUUAGAAAAAAUAGAUAAAAAUUUGAAUUCGAGUAUGACGUGUGGCAAAAGACGCUGACAUCAGCACCACGCAGGAGGUCACGCAGGUGAUUCGUGUGCCCAGCAAUUUGACAGCCCAGGUUCGAACAUGCGGGCGUGAAUGGCUCAGAUACAUUCCUUCCUUAAGUGCGAUUGAAUAGACGAGAUCAAUCAGGAUGAAUGGUUCAGAUUCGCCCACGUAAUCGGCUUAAAAAGGCAACAAUCGGACAGUUCUUCUCGCUCCACGUCGAUGCAGAUGGACGGCUUAGAUCAACGUGGGAUGAGUAUAUGAACAUCACAUCGUAAGAGGACCCCAACCCUAGCCGCCCUGCCCUUGCCGGAGAAUAAAGACCAGCCGCCGGAGAAGGAGACUGAUCCUCGGUCGCCACUGCACUAAAGCCACCAUCGAUCGCCAAAAAAGGUAAAAUUCUUCUCUACCCACUUGAAAUUCGAUUCUGAGUCUCUCCAUGGCCGUAUUGGAGCAAAAAGGGUGAUGGAUGAGCCAAAAAUUGUGGACAAAGCCCGCAGCCGAAACCCUAAAACUCCUCCGAUGAGUCCAUUCCCAUUUCUCGUUUCACAUGAUUUUUCGACCAUUAUAUUCAUCGUCCUUUUCUGUGCAGGUUAGCCGAAGAAGAAAUUCCAAUCGCGAAGGAGAAUCGGCAGAGUCGCACAAGGAGAUCCCUCUGCCGGUAGGUUCGGUUUUUUUGUG
RNAcentral lists this long non-coding RNA (1276 nucleotides) under Carica papaya (papaya). RNAcentral's name for it is "long non-coding RNA (CPAP_LNC001897)". The record is from RNAcentral. Lineage: Eukaryota; Viridiplantae; Streptophyta; Magnoliopsida; Brassicales; Caricaceae.